CUAGAGAUAGAGCUUUCCCUUCGGGGACAAAGUGACAGGUGGUGCAUGGUUGUCGUCAGCUCGUGUCGUGAGAUGUUGGGUUAAGUCCCGCAACGAGCGCAACCCUUAUUGUUAGUUGCCAUCAUUUAGUUGGGCACUCUAGCGAGACUGCCGGUGACAAACCGGAGGAAGGUGGGGAUGACGUCAAAUCAUCAUGCCCCUUAUGACCUGGGCUACACACGUGCUACAAUGGGAAGUACAACGAGUCGCUAGACCGCGAGGUCAUGCAAAUCUCUUAAAGCUUCUCUCAGUUCGGAUUGCAGGCUGCAACUCGCCUGCAUGAAGCCGGAAUCGCUAGUAAUCGCGGAUCAGCACGCCGCGGUGAAUACGUUCCCGGGCCUUGUACACACCGCCCGUCACACCACGAGAGUUUGUAACACCCGAAGUCGGUGAGGUAACCUUUUUGGAGCCAGCCGCCUAAGGUGGGAUAGAUGAUUGGGGUGAAGUCGUAACAAGGUAGCCGUAUCGGAAGGUGCGGCUGGAUCACCUCCUUU
Molecule: ribosomal RNA, 533 nt
Filed under: Enterococcus faecalis
Lineage: Bacteria; Bacillati; Bacillota; Bacilli; Lactobacillales; Enterococcaceae
Description: bacterial SSU rRNA
Rfam family: Bacterial small subunit ribosomal RNA
Source: RNAcentral